Molecule: long non-coding RNA, 328 nt
Organism: Saccostrea echinata
Lineage: Eukaryota; Metazoa; Mollusca; Bivalvia; Ostreida; Ostreidae
Exons: 3
Source: RefSeq, a predicted model, not a curated record
AUUUUUAAUGUCAAAUUCACUUUGCAAAAUAUUGAAACAAAUUUUAUGAGGUCUGACUUGCAUUCCCAUCAUGUGGGAUUCCAUGUACUCUAAAACCCAUGAGAAAAAUGCAAGAUGCAAUUGGAGGAAAACAACAAGCAGAAGACAGGGCAGUCAGUGGGAAUGGUUAGAACAACCCUAGGCACAGAAAGCAACUUACUUUGGCAAAUCAUAACUACAAAGUUUAUCAAAAGGAGGAGAAUAUUGUAGAAGAUAUGUACUGGUGCUUUGAAAAGAAAAAAAGAAGAUGAAAAGAUACAUAGAGAAAUAAUUUUCAGUAAAAACCAGG